UUUGGUAGGGAAUAAACUAGCUAACUUGAUUUGAAGAGAGAACGCCUUAUUUGCCAGUGUUUAUCUUAGCCUUAAACGUACAAAAAAAUGGAUAAUGAUAUGGUUCCCUAUCAAAAAUUCUACCAUCUUAUUUUGGGUAGGGAUUAUUU
Molecule: small RNA, 149 nt
Filed under: Bacilli bacterium VT-13-104
Lineage: Bacteria; Bacillati; Bacillota; Bacilli
Description: Listeria sRNA rli38
Rfam family: Listeria sRNA rli38
Source: Rfam by way of RNAcentral